RNAcentral lists this long non-coding RNA (660 nucleotides) under Equus asinus (donkey). Its description in RNAcentral is "lncRNA (ENSEASG00005036862.1)". Lineage: Eukaryota; Metazoa; Chordata; Mammalia; Perissodactyla; Equidae. The record is from RNAcentral.
CGGUACAGUUCGUCCUUAUUACAUUCUUAGUGUUCAACUGCCUGAGCCCCAACCUCCAACUGCCAGUCACAGUAGAAUUUCCAAAAGUCCAUCUGUUCCCUUCCAGGCUCUCAUUCCUCCUCCUUGGAAGGGUUCCUUCUUGUUUCCAAGUAGCUUUUGGGAGGCUGAAGUUGUCUGGCUCCGUACAGGAUCAACACGCUGACUGGAGCAGAGAGGCCCCAGCGGCUGAGCUGUUGCCGGCCUUUGAGAGUUAUGCCUGAAGCUCGGCACAGGACAGAACCCAAAAAUGAACAUCUAAAUUAGUUCCUUGAGAGCAUUCAAGAAAAAAGCCAAUCACAUCUAUGUAACAUGUAAACAGCAUCCAUUUCCCGUUGAUGAUCCCAAACGUGGACUCUCAGCAAAGGGGAAUGAUGCUUCCCUCAGCACCGGGAGGGAAGAAGAGCCAGGCUCCUACUGCUUCUCAGAGGGAUUUGCCUCAAAGUGUGAUUCUAAUCAACACAUGAGUGAGGAAGAGGGGAUGGGACCGAAUCGCAACAAGGCACGCUAGCCACAUCUGAAUCCAGAUGUUGGUUGCUGGUGACAACAAGCUGCCUUCUUUGUUUAAUGAGGCCACCGACAAGCUGAACUCCAAGGAAACUCUGACGAUAGAGAGCAACACUC